Molecule: small RNA, 616 nt
Filed under: Pan troglodytes (chimpanzee)
Lineage: Eukaryota; Metazoa; Chordata; Mammalia; Primates; Hominidae
Description: processed transcript
Source: RNAcentral
ACAAUCUCGGCUCACUGCAACCUCCGCCUCCCGGGUUCAAGCGAUUUUCCUGCCUCAGCUUCCCGGGUAGCUGGGACUACAGGUGUGGUGGCAUGUGCCUUUAGUCCCAGCUUACUCUAGAGGCUGAGGCAGGAAGAUUGCGUGAGCUCAGGAGUUCGAGGCUGCAGUGAGCUAUCAUCACACCACUCAGAGCAAGACUGUCUCCAAAACAGACAAGUGAACAAGAAAACAUUAGUGAUGGAUCUAAGGAAACUUAGCCAAGUUUUGAUAACAGAACCUGGGCGUUGUGGCAUACUCUAUAAAAAGCCAUUCAGCAGCCUUCAUCUACCUUUUAUUCUGCUUCACUUUUAUUUAACUUCUGUAGCCCUUUAAAAAAAAUCAAUCUUCUUGUUUUUAUUUAGUAUAACAGAAGAGAACUAUAAUUUCCUGCCACAUAGCCCCUCCAAGAAAGAUUCUGAAUGGAAGAGUGGAACAAAAGUCAGUCGUACAUUCAGCUACAUCAAGAAUAAAAUGUCCAGCAGCAAGAAGAGCAAAGUGAGUAUCACUGUGGGCAUUGCUUGUGAUCACCUCAGUAGGAUCCUGUCACAGCCUGCAUUCACACCAAAACUGGUUAAAU